RNAcentral lists this ribosomal RNA (482 nucleotides) under uncultured bacterium. RNAcentral describes it as "bacterial SSU rRNA". It matches the Rfam family "Bacterial small subunit ribosomal RNA", at positions 32 to 523 of the family's 1533-position model. The record is from RNAcentral.
AAUCAACGCUGGCGGCGUGCCUCAGACAUGCAAGUCGAACGAUUAAAGCUCUCUUCGGAGAGUGCAUAGAGUGGCGCACGGGUGAGUAACACGUAAGUAAUCUACCUUCGAGUGGGGAAUAACGUCCGGAAACGGACGCUAAUACCGCAUAAUGCAGCGGCAUCGUAAGAUGACAGUUGUUAAAGAUUUAUCGCUUGAAGAGGAGCUUGCGGCAGAUUAGCUAGUUGGUAAGGUAAUGGCUUACCAAGGCUACGAUCUGUAACCGGUCUUAGAGGACGGUCGGUCACACUGACACUGAAUAACGGGUCAGACUCCUACGGGAGGCAGCAGUCGGGGAAUUUUGGGCAAUGGGCGAAAGCCUGACCCAGCAACGCCGCGUGAAGGAUGAAGUAUUUCGGUAUGUAAACUUCGAAAGAAUAGGAAGAAUAAAUGACGGUACUAUUUAUAAGGUCCGGCUAACUACGUGCCAGCAGCCGCGGUAA